AGACCCGAAACCCGGUGAUCUAGCCAUGGGCAGGUUGAAGGUUGGGUAACACUAACUGGAGGACCGAACCGACUAAUGUUGAAAAAUUAGCGGAUGACCUGUGGCUGGGGGUGAAAGGCCAAUCAAACCGGGAGAUAGCUGGUUCUCCCCGAAAGCUAUUUAGGUAGCGCCUCGUGAAUUCAUCUCCGGGGGUAGAGCACUGUUUCGGCUAGGGGGCCAUCCCGGCUUACCAACCCGAUGCAAACUGCGAAUACCGGAGAAUGUUAUCACGGGAGACACACGGCGGGUGCUAACGUCCGUCGUGAAGAGGGAAACAACCCAGACCGCCAGCUAAGGUCCCAAAGUCAUGGUUAAGUGGGAAACGAUGUGGGAAGGCCCAGACAGCCAGGAUGUUGGCUUAGAAGCAGCCAUCAUUUAAAGAAAGCGUAAUAGCUCACUGGUCGAGUCGGCCUGCGCGGAAGAUGUAACGGGGCUAAACCAUGCACCGAAGCUGCGGCAGCGACACUAUGUGUUGUUGGGUAGGGGAGCGUUCUGUAAGCCUGUGAAGGUGUGCUGUGAGGCAUGCUGGAGGUAUCAGA
RNAcentral lists this ribosomal RNA (578 nucleotides) under Salmonella enterica subsp. enterica serovar Cerro. RNAcentral's name for it is "partial 23S ribosomal RNA". It matches the Rfam family "Bacterial large subunit ribosomal RNA", at positions 711 to 1286 of the family's 2925-position model. The record is from RNAcentral. Lineage: Bacteria; Pseudomonadati; Pseudomonadota; Gammaproteobacteria; Enterobacterales; Enterobacteriaceae.